This 5740-nucleotide long non-coding RNA is filed under the name Capsella rubella. Its description in RNAcentral is "long non-coding RNA (CRUB_LNC004722)". Lineage: Eukaryota; Viridiplantae; Streptophyta; Magnoliopsida; Brassicales; Brassicaceae. The record is from RNAcentral.
UCAGAAGAACAAGCUCAGAGCUCAGAUCGACGUCCCACAUCAAGAGAAGAAGUUUUGUGCUUCUUGAAUGAGCUUGGUUGGCUUUUCCAGAAGAACCAGACCUCUGAACUUCGGGAACAAUCCGACUUUUCCCUUGCCCGCUUCAAGUUUUUGCUCGUUUGCUCAGUUGAAAGAGAUUACUGUGCUCUCAUCAGAACACUCCUUGACAUGUUAGUAGAGAGAAAUUUGGUGAAUAAUGAGCUGAACACAGAAGCCUUGAAUAUGCUCGCUGAGAGUCAGUUGUUGAAUCGUGCUGUUAAGAGGAAAAGCACAAAAAUGGUCGAACUACUUAUUCAUUACCCAGUUAAUCCCUCGGCACUCAAGUCCUCUAACAACUUUGUUUUCUUACCCAACAUAACUGGACCUGGCGGUAUCACACCUUUACAUCUAGCUGCGUGUACAUCUGGGUCAGAUGAUAUGGUUGAUCUGCUGACAAAUGACUCACAAGAGGUAUGGCUCUCUCCCUCUUGCUGCCUCUCUCAAACGUAAUUUUAUUUCUUGCAACCCAUAAGACUGAGGAAACCGUAUUGCUGUUUCAGGUCGGAUUAUCAAGCUGGAACACUCUUUGUGAUGCAGCCGGCCAAACUCCAUACAGCUACGCUGCAAUGAGGAACAACCAUAGCUAUAACUCUCUGGUGGCUCGUAAACUUGCAGACAAAAGAAACAAGCAAGUCUCACUAAACAUUGAGAACGAGAUUGUUGACCAAAGGGGUAUGAGCAAGAGAUUAAGUUCAGAGAUGAACAAAUCAUCUUGUGCGUCGUGUGCAACCGUGGCUCUCAAGUAUCAGAGGAGAGUUUCAGGUUCACACCGUUUGUUCCCAACGCCUAUCAUUCACUCAAUGCUCGCAGUUGCAACAGUCUGCGUUUGCGUCUGCGUUUUCAUGCAUGCUUUCCCAAUCGUGAGACAAGGAUCUCACUUCAGUUGGGGAGGUUUGGAUUAUGGCUCAAUCUAGACAACAACAUAUAUAUAAAUUAUAAUUUUAUUCUUUUGGUUUCACAAAAUAAGAGAAAAAGGGAAGAGACUUCGCACGAAUAUAUAAGGAAAAGCUCAGAGACUUGACUGUGACAACGACCAAAGUGUGACUACAGUAGUAUUACUCAAGGGAGUUUCACCGUCGGGAGUUCUUUUUUUUUUUUUUCAAUUAUAUAUAUUUUGGUUUGGCUAAUUUGUUGUGUGUAUUUCUGUGUAUUUUGUUUCUAUAUUUUGAUUAUGAUUAUUCUUUAACUAAGAUAAUAACCUGCUGCUUCAUAUAAGAGGCAGUUGUUUUACUGUUUUUUUGUAUUUUGGUUCUUGUAAAUUUGUACUUUGUACAACUAGCUCCUUGUUCAUGUUGUAACUUGAAUAACAUUGUUUUUUUCUUUCUUUUUUGUCGAAAGUCUAAAUGCAUUACCAUUUGAAACUUACAUUACUAUUACAUGAUAUAGAACGAUGUUUGUGUAAACAAUAUGAAGAUGGAGUAAUCUUGUCACAUAUGCCUCUUAUGUCAACGAUUCCCUUGUCGGGAUUCUCAAACAUCAAACCUCACAAGUUAGUGUAUUGUUUUGCAUGAUCUUGUAGCUCAUUUGAUUUAAUGGCUUAGCUCCACCUCGUGAGUUCAAGUCAUGGCAGAGUAGGAGAGGAGGCAAAGAAGAUACACACUUUAUCCAAAAAGAAACUGAAAACUCAUGAGAUAUCUUUUAGUUCAAAGGAAUUUAUAUUUGUCACAAGUAGACAAUGAAUUUUUUUUUGAGAUUAGUGUGAUUUGAUUACUUCAUACUAAACGACGUACUUAAUGACAUUGAAAGGAAACGAUGUCGAAAAAGAAAUUAUGGAUCUCGAUUAAUUUGAAGAAGUAAAAAACAGAAAUGUUUUUGGACUAUCAAAUCAAAAAAUUUAACUUUAAUCAAUGGAUAAAAAGCAAAUGGGAAAUGUCUUGGAUCGAAUAUUACCAUGUAAAUGCCCUCGUUUCUGUUUGAAUUUACAGAAUGUGCCACCACCGUAGAAAACAAAUAAGAAAGAAAAAAAAAAGUUAUCGUAGAAGGUAAGGACUUGAAGACAGCAGAACACGGAUUAAACAAAAAAAAAAGCUUGAUCAGCGGAAAAAAGAAGAAGGACAAGUUUGAGACUUUGGGGAUUUUAAGAAGGUGGGUCGAAGCUGGUGAAGAGGAAUAAUCAAAUCAUUUCUCUUGUUUUGCUGGAUUGGAUCGGGAAAUCUACAAGUGUUUGAAGAUUCGUUUUUUGAAAAUUUGUUCGAAUCUGAACAAGUUCUUAACAUUCGAAUUCGGGUGAUGUUUAGCUUGAUUCGUCUCCAGCUUUCGUUGAAUCGAGGAAGAGUUUAUGCUUGAAGCUGCCAAGAUUCUGAUUUUGGGUUUAUUGAUUAGAGAAGUUUUCUAGCUAGGCGGUAGAUAUGUUGAGUAUGUACGGUGGCUCGGUAGAUAUGUUCUUCUGCAAAUACUGAAUCUUCUUCUUCUUCAUCAUCAAGCUGAUUGAUCAAAGUCUAUUUUUGGAAUUUGAAAAGAAGAGACUUUAAAAAAAGGGUCAGAUCGAUUUCGGAGGAGAGAGAGAGAGAUAUGGAUGAGGUAGGUGCUCAAGUAGCUACUCCGAUGUUCAUUCAUCCGUCGCUAUCUCCGAUGGGGAGAAAACGUGAUCUUUACUAUCCGAUGUCGACUCGGCUGGUACCGUCGUCUCAGCCGCAGCCGCAGCGAAGAGAUGAGUGGAACUCUAAGAUGUGGGAUUGGGAUAGCCGGAGAUUUGAAGCUACACCGGUGGAAGCUCAGGUUCUUCUUCUGGGCAACGAGACACAACAGUUUGAUUUGACUUCAAGGAAUAAGAGUGGAGAAGAAAGAGGACUUGAUUUGAAUCUGGGAAGUGGUUUGACUGCGGAGGAAGACACCACAACGACGACGACGCAGAACAUUAGACCGAACAAGAAGGUUCGUUCUGGAUCUCCGGGAGGGAAUUAUCCGAUGUGUCAGGUGGAUAAUUGUACUGAAGAUUUAUCUCAUGCUAAGGAUUAUCACAGAAGGCAUAAAGUGUGUGAAGUUCAUAGCAAAGCUACCAAAGCUCUCGUUGGGAAACAGAUGCAGAGGUUUUGCCAACAGUGCAGCAGGUAAGGAAGAAGAGUGAUUUGUUCUUAUUGUAUCCAAUUUGAUUUUUUUCUGGUGAUGGUUCUCUGUUUUUUUUUUUUUUUUUCUUAAUCUGGUUAUGAAUGAUUUUCGCAGGUUUCAUCUGCUCUCGGAGUUUGAUGAAGGAAAGAGAAGUUGUAGGCGUAGAUUGGCUGGCCACAACCGAAGGAGGAGGAAGACAACACAGCAGGAGGAGGUUGUCGUUCCGGGGAACCGUGAUAAUUCGUCUAACGCCAAUAUGGAUCUUAUGGCUUUGUUAACCGCCUUAGCUUGUGCACAAGGUAUUAGCUUGCGAAUAUACAAGAGUUUUUUUUUUGUCUUGGAAUUCUGCUCGGAUGUUCUUGUUUUAUUAACAGCUUUGUUGUCUGCGAGCUGCAGGUAAGAAUGAGGUAAAGCCAGUGACUACUUCUCCAGCUGUGCCUGAUAGAGAGCAGCUUCUUCAGAUACUUACCAAGAUAAAUGCAUUGCCGUUGCCUAUGGACCUUGUCUCUAAGUUGAACAAUAUUGGAAAUUUAGCCAGGAAAAAUCUGGAUCAACCAAUGGCGCACCCCCCAAAUGAUAUGAAUGGCGCUUCUCCUUCUACAAUGGACUUGCUUGCUGUUCUUUCGUCAACGUUAGGCUCCUCUUCACCUGAUACGCUAGCCAUAUUGUCUCAAGGUGGGUUUGGUUACAAAGACAGUGACAAGACUAAGUUAUCUUCUUAUGAUCACGGUGUUGCAACCAAUGUGGAAAAGAGAACUUUAGGGUUUUCUUCUGGUGGGGGAGAGAGGAGCAGUAGCAGUAACCUAUCUCCAUCUCAGGAUUCAGAUUCACGUGCUCAAGACACUAGGUCUAGCCUGUCUCUACAAUUAUUUACCUCAUCUCCCGAGGAUGAGAGUCGACCAACAGUGGCAUCUUCUCGAAAGUAUUAUUCUUCUGCAAGCAGUAAUCCUGUUGAGGAUAGAUCUCCGUCGUCCUCCCCGGUCAUGCAGGAGUUAUUCCCAUUGCAGACGUCCCCUGAAACCAUGAGGUCUAAGAAUCACAAUAACUCAAGUCCCAGGACUGGUUGUCUGCCGCUUGAGCUCUUUGGUGCAUCAAAUAGAGGAACUGCGAAUACUAAUUUUAAAGGUUUGGGGCAACAGUCUGGGUAUGCUUCUUCUGGUUCUGACUACUCUCCUCCCAGCUUAAACUCUGAUUCUCAGGUUUGUAGCUUUUCAAUUCCUCUUUAGCAUCUAUUUGUACGUAGAUAAAACAAGCCACUUAUGGUUUAUAUAUAUAUGGCAUUCAAACAGGACCGCACUGGAAAGAUAGUUUUCAAACUACUUGAUAAAGAUCCAAGUCAGCUCCCUGGGACAUUACGAUCGGAGGUGAUAAUUUCUGAGCAUGAUCCUUACCUGAAAUAUUAAAGUUACUGGUUGCUUCUGUUUCAGUCCUCAUAGUUAUUGUCUUCCUUUUAUUACAGAUCUAUAAUUGGCUUUCGAACAUUCCAUCAGAAAUGGAGAGUUAUAUCAGGCCUGGCUGUGUUGUUCUAUCUGUCUAUAUAGCGAUGGCACCUGCAGCCUGGGAACAGGUGAGUGGAAAUUGUUUUUAAUAUUUGGUUAUUAAAUUAUUCAAUGAUAUGUAUAUAGCUUAGGAGCAGUUGGUGGUUUUUAUUUUUACAGCUUGAGCGAAACUUGCUGCAACGGCUAGGUGUUUUGCUAAACAAUUCUCAGUCUGAUUUUUGGAGAGAAGCUAGAUUUAUUGUUAACACAGGCAGACAGCUCGCAUCACACAAAAAUGGUUAGUGCUCACGAGCGUUACUUCUUUGUAACCUUGAUGCAACAUUUAUCUCACUAUAAUUAUAACAUAUCAUUGGUUACAGGUAGAGUUCGAUGUAGCAAAUCUUGGAGAACUUGGAAUUCACCAGAGCUCAUCUCAGUGUCUCCUGUAGCUGUGGUAGCUGGUGAGGAAACAAGUUUGGUAGUAAGAGGUAGAAGCUUGACUAAUGAUGGGAUCAGGUAACUUAAAAAAAAAAUAAAACAGUUUCAUAGUGUUUCUCAUAUUUUCUUAAUUCUUUCUAAGCUUUAUCAUCAUCGUGAUGCCAGUAUUCGUUGCACACAUAUGGGUACCUACAUGUCGAUGGAAGUAACUGGAGCAGCAUGUAGACAAGCAGUAUUUGAUGAGUUGAAUGUAAAUAGUUUCAAAGUGCAAAAUGCACAGCCAGGUUUUCUUGGACGCUGUUUCAUUGAGGUAGAACUUCAUAUAACUGAACUUGAUAGUUUCUUUGUCAGUCUAGAGAUGUUUAAAGCCUAGAUUUUAUGCAGGUGGAGAAUGGUUUCAGGGGUGACAGUUUUCCAUUGAUAAUUGCCAAUGCGUCCAUCUGCGAAGAGUUAAAUCGCCUUGAAGAAGAGUUUCACCCCAGAAGUCAAGAUACAUCAGAAGAACAAGCGCAGAGCUCAGAUCGUCGUCCCACAUCAAGAGAAGAAGUUAUGUGCUUCUUGAAUGAGCUUGGUUGGCUUUUCCAAAAGAACCAGACCUCUGAACUUCGGGAACAAUCCGACUUUUCCCUUGCCCGCUUCAAGUUUUUGCUCGUUUGCUCAGUUGAAAGAGAUUACUGUGCUCUCAUUAGAACACUCCU